ACAUUGGGGGGGGGGGGGCCUGGAACAGUUUGUUUGGAACAUUUCAAUUUAUAGGAUGGAUUGAUGGAACAUUGCCGGGUGAGGUGGGUUCGUCGUCUCGCACCAUCGAGAAGCUGUGAGGAGGCGGUAACAAGCGGCACGGCACGGCGGCGGGGUGUGUUGCGGCAGCAGGGGCUGGGCGGAUCGCCGGAUCGGGACUAUAUCUAUCCUGGUUAUCAAAUUGUUAAGAGUCGUUGACCAACCAUGAUAACAUUUGUCGUGAAAUCAUGGGCUAGCUUACAGUAUUUGGAGCUUUUGAAGACGGCCAAGAGAAUCAGGUAUGGAACCAUUAAAAAUAUUAUUUCCUAGAUUUAGAAUUGUUAAGCUUGAUAUGUUCCCAAGUGCCUCAGGAAUUCCACCACUUAUCGUAUUGCCAUCCAAUACCCUGAAACAAUAAUGUGCAACAAUCAGGAACUUUCUCCGAAUAUAUUUGAAUUUAUGGGAAAUGAAUGUUACAUAGUCCGAAAAAACUAUCAUCGAGCUUACAGCUCUUGUAAAGUUGUUAGUUCUGCAAUGCUGGGUGACAAGACUCCGCGUAACCCUGUUGAGCUCAAUUUUCUGCAAACAACCAAAAAAAAUAAAACAACGCAAAAAUCAAUGUAAAGAAAAGUAUACAUAGUGUUCAACCUUGUAAUAGCAAAAAAAAAAGGAAAGCCUGCAAAUGAUCUACGCGAUACCCAAAUGCAUACUCUUCUCCUGUAAUAAACAGUUGUAAUCAAUCCUUUAGACAUUAACUUGAACAAUUGGAGGUUUGUCUGUCCUAAAAGAGGUGUUUUAUGGUCUUUAGAAGAUAACAAGAGGUAUAGAAACAAAUGUCUUGGGAGAAACGGGGAACCUAGCUGCCUUGGGCAGGAAUGGAAUACACAGUUCAGGCAGUAGAGUUGAAUCCCCUAUACUUACAUGGCAAUUACUUUGUUGCCUUGACAAAUAACAUUUCCCCACCCGCAGGGGGUCAUUUGAUUAUUCUUCCAGUCGUUUAGGACAUCAUUUUCAUCAAUGAGAUGCAUCUUGAUUUCAUACAGUGCUGUAACUGUGGAUGAAAAACGAAGCCUUAUUUGUGGGAUUCAGGUAGACGAAAGAAAACAAAACUUGGCGAAAUGAUUCUGAUGUCAACCUGAUAAUUGUCUCACAUGAACUCUGGAUCAGUUAAGUUAGCCAUGUAGGCCAUGCCAAAUAUUUAAGCCUUGAGUGAAAAAUGAUCAAUACUAGAUAGAUGGGCAGGGCAUUAUGUAAAACUUUUCUACAGUUUUAAAUUCCUGACUGGUCACAUGUAAUACUGGUGGGCACAUCUUUAACAGACUUCAGUGUUUAGUACAGGCAGUCUAGUCAAUAUAGCACAAUACAUCCUGAGCUUUGUUAGUUCGGAACCUUUUCUCAAUUUAAGUAUAAUAACUUCUUUAUAUCAUUCCUGCCAAAUAAGAAAAAACUGAUGCGGCGAAGACAUGUUCAAACUGUAAAGGCCUUACCUUGGUAAUCACAAGUAACAAAACCUUGUAAGCACCCCAACAAGACUAAACCAAAAGCUAAUAGCUUCAUACUUUCUGAAAGUAUCCUCUGUUUGUUUUGUUUUCAGAGACAGAAGUACUGUAUGUGCACGCUGAAUCUAUUUGCUUGAUUGAAAACAGAAGCCCUCACGAAGGGAGAUCAGUGCAAGACAGCUGCAUCACUGAGCAAUAAAAGAAUAUGUAUAAGAGGAGAACCAACUGGGAAGAAUGGAAAACAGAAAUUACUCAGAGGAAAUCUAACAAGGUCCUAAUGGGAUAAUCUCCUUCGCAACUAGAUAGAUCUUCUCAAUGAUCACCUUUUGUAACAAGGGUUACCCGGUGCAGAUUGAGGCAUCCACGAGACCACGAGUAGCCUUAAAGGUACUGUUUGGGCUGAAGCGAAACAAGAGACUACAACCUCCUCGCAGGAAGCUGUUAUGGUAGAUCCUACCAGGAGUAGCCAUACCCAUACCCUUACUGCUCUAACAGGAGGUCCCAGCCGAACUGCCGAACAAAUAGAGAACCAAAGAAACAGCAGAACUUACCAAA
Panicum virgatum (switchgrass) is the source of this 2072-nucleotide long non-coding RNA. RefSeq lists it as uncharacterized. The transcript has 4 exons. The record is from RefSeq and is a predicted model, not a curated record. Lineage: Eukaryota; Viridiplantae; Streptophyta; Magnoliopsida; Poales; Poaceae.